GGGGAUGUGGCUCAAGUGGUAGAGCGCUCACCUAGCACGUGUGAGGCACUGGGUUCGAUCCUCAGCACCACA
RNAcentral lists this transfer RNA (72 nucleotides) under Marmota monax (woodchuck). RNAcentral's name for it is "tRNA.Ala". It matches the Rfam family "tRNA". Rfam says of the family: Transfer RNA (tRNA) molecules are approximately 80 nucleotides in length. Their secondary structure includes four short double-helical elements and three loops (D, anti-codon, and T loops). The record is from RNAcentral. Lineage: Eukaryota; Metazoa; Chordata; Mammalia; Rodentia; Sciuridae.